AUUGAACGCUGGCGGCAUGCUUUACACAUGCAAGUCGAACGGCAGCGCGGGCUUCGGCCUGGCGGCGAGUGGCGAACGGGUGAGUAAUACAUCGGAACGUGCCCCGUAGUGGGGGAUAGCUCGGCGAAAGCCGGAUUAAUACUGCAUACGACCUGAGGGUGAAAGCGGGGGAUCUUCGGACCUCGCGCUAUUGGAGCGGCCGAUGGCGGAUUAGCUAGGUGGUGGGGUAAAGGCCUACCAAGGCGACGAUCUGUAGCUGGUCUGAGAGGACGACCAGCCACACUGGAACUGAGACACGGCCCAGACUCCUACGGGAGGCAGCAGUGGGGAAUUUUGGACAAUGGGCGAAAGCCUGAUCCAGCAAUGCCGCGUGUGUGAUGAAGGCCUUCGGGUUGUAAAGCACUUUUGGCGGGAACGAAAAGCACUGGGCUAAUACCACGGUUCGAUGACGGUACCCGCAGAAUAAGCACCGGCUAACUACGUG
RNAcentral lists this ribosomal RNA (484 nucleotides) under uncultured bacterium. Its description in RNAcentral is "partial 16S ribosomal RNA". It matches the Rfam family "Bacterial small subunit ribosomal RNA", at positions 29 to 507 of the family's 1533-position model. The record is from RNAcentral.